Molecule: long non-coding RNA, 752 nt
Organism: Anguilla anguilla (European eel)
Lineage: Eukaryota; Metazoa; Chordata; Actinopteri; Anguilliformes; Anguillidae
Exons: 4
Source: RefSeq, a predicted model, not a curated record
UCAAUCUCUUAAUAAUACUGCUAUAUAGCUUUUUGUAUCUCUUGCAGCGCACACAUUCUGGGCCAGAACAAUUAGCUCUGUCUCUGGAAGAGAACCAAACAUAGUAAUGACUGAAAUAAUUCUAUGAUAAUGGGAAAACAAUGGAAAAUAUUUCUCAAAAAUGACAAAAUUGCUUGCCAUGCGAGGAUAAAAGCAGCUGAAUAGUUACAGGUUAGCUAACACAAUGCAUCAUGUUUGUGCCUGUUGAUAGCGAUUCAACAAUUUUCACAAUUCGCAGAUGAGAAGUGGAAAAUGUAAAAGAAAUGACCUUCCCGGAAGUGAAACAAAUCAGGAAAAAGAACUCGCUAUCAGAAUGUCCUUUUGGGCACGGAAGAACAGACUGUAGCUUGCCCUCUGCCGUCCGGAACACUGCCUUCCUAUCGAGGCAGUGUGGAAAUUCACUGGCCAGGCGAAAGAACCCAGCAGAUGUAAAGUCCAGGAGUGGUAUCCCAGUUUCCCACAAGAGAACGGAUUUUCCGACCGCAGGGCUGAGAAGCCAGCCACAAAGCAGCUUGCUGAAACCCGACAUAAAACAAAAUUUGACUGAAAAAAAAAAGUACAAAAAAAUGAAAAAAAAAAGAGCGAUGGAUUUUCUAAUCCGGCCUUUAUCGAGGUUCCUGGUUUCAGCAGCGCAACCUUUUUUAUGUGCGAGAAGCGCUCCCUGUAAUUACCUCGCCACCACCACCGGACCGGCUUGUAAUAAAAGAGCUCUA